UCUCAGUGAUGAUUCAAAAUGAUGACGAGUCCGAUCUAUAUCCAUUCCAUUAAACCUGACGACAAAUCGAGGCAUUUGUCUGAGAGAA
Molecule: small nucleolar RNA, 88 nt
Organism: Cornus florida
Lineage: Eukaryota; Viridiplantae; Streptophyta; Magnoliopsida; Cornales; Cornaceae
Source: RefSeq, a predicted model, not a curated record